Molecule: long non-coding RNA, 412 nt
Filed under: Ananas comosus (pineapple)
Lineage: Eukaryota; Viridiplantae; Streptophyta; Magnoliopsida; Poales; Bromeliaceae
Description: long non-coding RNA (ACOM_LNC000410)
Source: RNAcentral
AUUAGGAUCCAUUAGAAACAUAUAAUUAACCAUACGUAAAAUAUUUAAUCCUCAUUAAUAAAUAAGGUAAAUUGAUCUUUUCAAUCCUCUUGUAUUAUUUGUGUUGGUAGAAAAAAAAUGACCGCUGGAGAUUUUUUGAAAGAUAUUUUUGUAUAAUUCUAACAAUUAAAACUUUUGAAGAGAUAUAUUUGUAAGGAUAAAAAUAUCAUUUUGUUUAUUUUCGGUUAAAAAAAAAACAUUGUUCUAAUAAUAACUAAUUAGAGAGACAAAUAUGAAUAUUUCUGGACUUUUGCCGGGAUAAAUAUGAAAAAUUAAACUUUACAGAAAUAUAUUUGCUAUUCGAUAUAAAUAUAUAGAGAGCUAUAUGAAAUUAAUCCUAAUUAAAAAUACUGUAUAAUUAAUUAACUAUACA